GACUAAAGGAGACUUUUGCCUCACCUAUUUAAGACACUUGCAUAUGAGUUUAAACUCAGCAAGCAUAUCAUUUUCAGCUCCUAAAAUUCGUCCUUCACCCUUUCUCCAUGGAAGAACAUCAAGCAAAUUUCAAAUGGUCAUAACUCACUCAAUUUUGGUCCGAAUUGAGCGAUUCUUGUGGCCACGGAACGAGGGAAGGAUCCUCUACUGAUAUAUAGUAUCAAUUUAAGGUUAUUGAAAGCUUGAAGGGAGUAUUUUGAUGGUUGUUCAUGGAGGAAUUCAUUCAACCAAAGGGUUAUCCCAUCAAGAAAAGACUCGAAGAAGCGACUAUCGAUAAGGCUCGAGGCGAAUGGAUCGAGAUAUUGUCGUGCUUAUUUAAAGAAUUUGGAUAGCAAGUGGGAUGGUAUGAUAUGAUUUGAAGAGUUAAGCUUCCGAAGUUUUAAUUCUCGGAAGUCAUUUGUAUAAGAAGAAAAAGAAGGUUUUCAUUCUAGCGGUCCGCAGUAGUCUAGAUAUUUUAACUAGAAUUUUGUAUAACGCGUUUUUAACUCUGAUAUUAUUUGUAAAUGGGGUCACACGUAUUUUAAUAUAUGAAAUAUGUUUUGAUUUGCGAAAAAAAUUUACACAGGUUUUUAGGCUUGCUACGGGAUUUGGAGCUACCACUCCCAUUCCCUAGCGCCGGUCGCGGCUCAUAAAUUUG
Molecule: long non-coding RNA, 697 nt
Organism: Mercurialis annua (annual mercury)
Lineage: Eukaryota; Viridiplantae; Streptophyta; Magnoliopsida; Malpighiales; Euphorbiaceae
Exons: 4
Source: RefSeq, a predicted model, not a curated record